Molecule: ribosomal RNA, 253 nt
Filed under: uncultured bacterium
Lineage: Bacteria
Description: partial 16S ribosomal RNA
Rfam family: Bacterial small subunit ribosomal RNA
Source: RNAcentral
UACGAAGGGGGCUAGCGUUGCCCGGAAUCACUAGGCGUAAAGCGCACGUAGGCGGACUCUUAAGUCGGUGGUGAAAUCCUGGAGCUCAACUCCAGAACUGCCUUCGAUACUGAGAGUCUCGAGUCCGGGAGAGGUGAGUGGAACUGCGAGUGUAGAGGUGAAAUUCGUAGAUAUUCGCAAGAACACCAGUGGCGAAGGCGGCUCACUGGCCCGGUACUGACGCUGAGGUGCGAAAGCGUGGGGAGCAAACAGG